GAGGGUAUAGCUCAGUGGUAGAGCGCAUGCUUAGCAUGCGUGAGGUCCUGGGUUCAAUCCCAGUACCUCCU
RNAcentral lists this transfer RNA (71 nucleotides) under Camelus bactrianus (Bactrian camel). It matches the Rfam family "tRNA". From Rfam's summary of the family: Transfer RNA (tRNA) molecules are approximately 80 nucleotides in length. Their secondary structure includes four short double-helical elements and three loops (D, anti-codon, and T loops). RNAcentral also lists the same sequence under 2 other names. The record is from Rfam by way of RNAcentral. Lineage: Eukaryota; Metazoa; Chordata; Mammalia; Artiodactyla; Camelidae.